AGUGAACGCUGGCGGCAGGCCUAACACAUGCAAGUCGAGCGGCAGCGCGGGGGCAACCCUGGCGGCGAGCGGCGGACGGGUGAGGAAUUCGUCGGAAUCUGCCUUUUUGUGGGGGAUAACGUAGGGAAACUUACGCUAAUACCGCAUACGUCCUACGGGAGAAAGUGGGGGACCGCAAGGCCUCACGCAGAAAGAUGAGCCGACGACCGAUUAGCUAGUUGGUGGGGUAAAGGCCCACCAAGGCGACGAUCGGUAGCUGGUCUGAGAGGAUGAUCAGCCACAUUGGGACUGAGACACGGCCCAGCCUCCUACGGGAGGCAGCAGUGGGGAAUAUUGGACAAUGGGCGCAAGCCUGAUCCAGCCAUGCCGGGUGUGUGAAGAAGGCCUUCGGGUUGUAAAGCACUUUUGUCCGGAAAGAAAUCCCUGGAGCUAAUACCUUCGGGGGAUGAGGGUACCGGAGAAUAAGCACCGGCUAACUUCGUG
RNAcentral lists this ribosomal RNA (483 nucleotides) under uncultured bacterium. RNAcentral's name for it is "partial 16S ribosomal RNA". It matches the Rfam family "Bacterial small subunit ribosomal RNA", at positions 30 to 507 of the family's 1533-position model. The record is from RNAcentral.